This 2876-nucleotide ribosomal RNA is filed under the name Pseudomonas aeruginosa. RNAcentral describes it as "bacterial LSU rRNA". It matches the Rfam family "Bacterial large subunit ribosomal RNA". The record is from RNAcentral. Lineage: Bacteria; Pseudomonadati; Pseudomonadota; Gammaproteobacteria; Pseudomonadales; Pseudomonadaceae.
AGAAGCGCAUACGGUGGAUGCCUUGGCAGUCAGAGGCGAUGAAAGACGUGGUAGCCUGCGAAAAGCUUCGGGGAGUCGGCAAACAGACUUUGAUCCGGAGAUCUCUGAAUGGGGGAACCCACCUAGGAUAACCUAGGUAUCUUGUACUGAAUCCAUAGGUGCAAGAGGCGAACCAGGGGAACUGAAACAUCUAAGUACCCUGAGGAAAGAAAUCAACCGAGAUUCCCUUAGUAGUGGCGAGCGAACGGGGAUUAGCCCUUAAGCUUCAUUGAUUUUAGCGGAACGCUCUGGAAAGUGCGGCCAUAGUGGGUGAUAGCCCGUACGCGAAAGGAUCUUUGAAGUGAAAUCGAGUAGGACGGAGCACGAGAAACUUUGUCUGAACAUGGGGGGACCAUCCUCCAAGGCUAAAUACUACUGACUGACCGAUAGUGAACCAGUACCGUGAGGGAAAGGCGAAAAGAACCCCGGAGAGGGGAGUGAAAUAGAACCUGAAACCGUAUGCGUACAAGCAGUGGGAGCCUACUUGUUAGGUGACUGCGUACCUUUUGUAUAAUGGGUCAGCGACUUAUAUUCAGUGGCAAGCUUAACCGUAUAGGGUAGGCGUAGCGAAAGCGAGUCUUAAUAGGGCGUUUAGUCGCUGGGUAUAGACCCGAAACCGGGCGAUCUAUCCAUGAGCAGGUUGAAGGUUAGGUAACACUGACUGGAGGACCGAACCCACUCCCGUUGAAAAGGUAGGGGAUGACUUGUGGAUCGGAGUGAAAGGCUAAUCAAGCUCGGAGAUAGCUGGUUCUCCUCGAAAGCUAUUUAGGUAGCGCCUCAUGUAUCACUCUGGGGGGUAGAGCACUGUUUCGGCUAGGGGGUCAUCCCGACUUACCAAACCGAUGCAAACUCCGAAUACCCAGAAGUGCCGAGCAUGGGAGACACACGGCGGGUGCUAACGUCCGUCGUGAAAAGGGAAACAACCCAGACCGCCAGCUAAGGUCCCAAAGUUGUGGUUAAGUGGUAAACGAUGUGGGAAGGCUUAGACAGCUAGGAGGUUGGCUUAGAAGCAGCCAUCCUUUAAAGAAAGCGUAAUAGCUCACUAGUCGAGUCGGCCUGCGCGGAAGAUGUAACGGGGCUCAAACCACACACCGAAGCUGCGGGUGUCACGUAAGUGACGCGGUAGAGGAGCGUUCUGUAAGCCUGUGAAGGUGAGUUGAGAAGCUUGCUGGAGGUAUCAGAAGUGCGAAUGCUGACAUGAGUAACGACAAUGGGUGUGAAAAACACCCACGCCGAAAGACCAAGGGUUCCUGCGCAACGUUAAUCGACGCAGGGUUAGUCGGUUCCUAAGGCGAGGCUGAAAAGCGUAGUCGAUGGGAAACAGGUUAAUAUUCCUGUACUUCUGGUUACUGCGAUGGAGGGACGGAGAAGGCUAGGCCAGCUUGGCGUUGGUUGUCCAAGUUUAAGGUGGUAGGCUGAAAUCUUAGGUAAAUCCGGGUUUCAAGGCCGAGAGCUGAUGACGAGUCGUCUUUUAGAUGACGAAGUGGUUGAUGCCAUGCUUCCAAGAAAAGCUUCUAAGCUUCAGGUAACCAGGAACCGUACCCCAAACCGACACAGGUGGUCGGGUAGAGAAUACCAAGGCGCUUGAGAGAACUCGGGUGAAGGAACUAGGCAAAAUGGCACCGUAACUUCGGGAGAAGGUGCGCCGGCUAGGGUGAAGGAUUUACUCCGUAAGCUCUGGCUGGUCGAAGAUACCAGGCCGCUGCGACUGUUUAUUAAAAACACAGCACUCUGCAAACACGAAAGUGGACGUAUAGGGUGUGACGCCUGCCCGGUGCCGGAAGGUUAAUUGAUGGGGUUAGCGCAAGCGAAGCUCUUGAUCGAAGCCCCGGUAAACGGCGGCCGUAACUAUAACGGUCCUAAGGUAGCGAAAUUCCUUGUCGGGUAAGUUCCGACCUGCACGAAUGGCGUAACGAUGGCGGCGCUGUCUCCACCCGAGACUCAGUGAAAUUGAAAUCGCUGUGAAGAUGCAGUGUAUCCGCGGCUAGACGGAAAGACCCCGUGAACCUUUACUGUAGCUUUGCACUGGACUUUGAGCCUGCUUGUGUAGGAUAGGUGGGAGGCUUUGAAGCGUGGACGCCAGUUCGCGUGGAGCCAUCCUUGAAAUACCACCCUGGCAUGCUUGAGGUUCUAACUCUGGUCCGUGAUCCGGAUCGAGGACAGUGUAUGGUGGGCAGUUUGACUGGGGCGGUCUCCUCCUAAAGAGUAACGGAGGAGUACGAAGGUGCGCUCAGACCGGUCGGAAAUCGGUCGCAGAGUAUAAAGGCAAAAGCGCGCUUGACUGCGAGACAGACACGUCGAGCAGGUACGAAAGUAGGUCUUAGUGAUCCGGUGGUUCUGUAUGGAAGGGCCAUCGCUCAACGGAUAAAAGGUACUCCGGGGAUAACAGGCUGAUACCGCCCAAGAGUUCAUAUCGACGGCGGUGUUUGGCACCUCGAUGUCGGCUCAUCACAUCCUGGGGCUGAAGCCGGUCCCAAGGGUAUGGCUGUUCGCCAUUUAAAGUGGUACGCGAGCUGGGUUUAGAACGUCGUGAGACAGUUCGGUCCCUAUCUGCCGUGGACGUUUGAGAUUUGAGAGGGGCUGCUCCUAGUACGAGAGGACCGGAGUGGACGAACCUCUGGUGUUCCGGUUGUCACGCCAGUGGCAUUGCCGGGUAGCUAUGUUCGGAAAAGAUAACCGCUGAAAGCAUCUAAGCGGGAAACUUGCCUCAAGAUGAGAUCUCACUGGGAACUUGAUUCCCCUGAAGGGCCGUCGAAGACUACGACGUUGAUAGGCUGGGUGUGUAAGCGUUGUGAGGCGUUGAGCUAACCAGUACUAAUUGCCCGUGAGGCUUGACC